GCGCACCAGGCGCGAAACUUCACACUGUGCGAAAGCACGAUGAGGGAAUCCCAAGUGCUUGCACGUAAGUGUAAGCUGUUUCUCUGUCUAAAACGCAGAGAGAGUAAGGGCUGGGUAAGACGGGUGCCAGCCGCCGCGGUAAUACCUGCAGCUCAAGUGGUGACCGUUAUUAUUGGGCCUAAAACGUCCGUAGCCGGUUUAAUAAAUGCCUGGGUAAAUUGUGUAGCUUAACUAUACGAAUUCCGGGUAGACUGUUAAACUUGAGACCGGGAGAAGUUAGAGGUACUCCUGGGGUAGAGGUGAAAUUCUGUAAUCCUAGGGGACCACCAGUGGCGAAGGCGUCUAACUAGAACGGGUCUGACGGUGAGGGACGAAGCCCUGGGGCGCAAACGGGGAUUAGAUACCCCUGUAGU
This 413-nucleotide ribosomal RNA is filed under the name uncultured microorganism. RNAcentral's name for it is "bacterial SSU rRNA". It matches the Rfam family "Archaeal small subunit ribosomal RNA", at positions 330 to 745 of the family's 1478-position model. The record is from RNAcentral.